Molecule: ribosomal RNA, 331 nt
Filed under: uncultured soil bacterium
Lineage: Bacteria
Description: bacterial SSU rRNA
Rfam family: Bacterial small subunit ribosomal RNA
Source: RNAcentral
AGAACGAACGCUGGCGGCAUGCCUAAUACAUGCAAGUCGAACGAACUCUUCGGAGUUAGUGGCGCACGGGUGCGUAACGCGUGGGAAUCUGCCCUUGGGUUCGGAAUAACAGUUGGAAACGACUGCUAAUACCGGAUGAUGACGAAAGUCCAAAGAUUUAUCGCCCAGGGAUGAGCCCGCGUAGGAUUAGCUAGUUGGUGAGGUAAAGGCUCACCAAGGCGACGAUCCUUAGCUGGUCUGAGAGGAUGAUCAGCCACACUGGGACUGAGACACGGCCCAGACUCCUACGGGAGGCAGCAGUAGGGAAUAUUGGACAAGUGGGCGGAAAGCC